CCUUGACUACGAAGACCCAGUCGUUAUAGGCAGAAACUACCAGUAUGAUCUCAUAGUUACGGCAACAGAUGUAGGGUCGCCAUCGGUUGCUACAGCAACUGUAAGAGUAAAGGUGACCAAUAGGAAUGAGUACUCUCCUGAGUUUACUGUUACUUCCGGCACGUUCGAUUUCGACGAAGGAGAAAGCAUUGGAUCCUCAGUGGUUCCAUCUUUGUUGGCCACAGAUUUGGAUAAUGGAGUUGAUGGCGCCAUAACGUUCAGUAUCACCGGAACCACCCCUGCUGCUGGGUGCGACUUUACGAUAUUUCCGGACACUGGUGAAAUCAUUACUCUUGGAGAAUUCGACUAUGAGGCUGGCCCAACUUCUUGCACGCUAGUAAUACAAGCAGUGGACAACGGCGACACACCGAAGACGGCAUCGCCUUCAUAUACCGCAACAAUCAACAUCAAUAAUAUCAACGACAACGAACCAUUUUUCACACCAACAACACUAGCACUUGCAGCGAUUUCCGAAAACCAUGACACCGUGACUGCGAUUGCCUCCAUUUCGGAGCUUGCUGCAGGAGGUGAUUUCAUGGUUGAUGAUCUUGACACUGUUCUACCGGAUUCCACUUAUUGGUUCGCUUCCGGCAAUGAUCUUGGUUUAUUCACAUUUGAUGGCUUAGAUAUCAAGUUGACUCAAACUAUAGAUUUAGAUAAUCCGGUCUUCAAUCCGAGUGAAUACACUUUGGUGAUAGGUGUUAGUGAUGGGGAUGUACCGCCAUUGACUGGUUAUGCGACACUCAUCGUGGAGGUCACACCAGAAAACAACCAUAAUCCGUUCAUUGACCAUAUCGACCCUGGUGGCACAAUACAGAUAAACGAAAAUGAUCCAAUCGGAACACUGUGUGCAACAGUAUAUGCUGAGGACAGAGAUGUUGACGACAUAUUGGCGUAUGCUAUAUUUGAUGGGAAUGUCAAUAAUUAUUUCGAAAUUGACUCGUCCACUGGAGAAAUACGAGUUGCUAAUCAAGUAGAUUAUGAAGCGAUAGCACCUAAUGUUAAUAUCGAUCUGAGGGUUACAGUUACUGACCUUGGCGGUGGAAUGGUUACGGCAUCUGUUCCGUUGCUGAUACAUAAUCUAAAUGACUUUGACCCUACUUGCACUACAACUAGUUUUUUGGAACUUAUAUCUGAGACUGACCCUGCUGGCACGACGAUUGCUCAGCUAGACUGCAGCGACCUGGAUCCAGAUACCACGUUAACGUACACUAUAGUGCCAUCGACCCCUGAUUUUACUGUAGACGCCACUGGACUAGUAACUGUUGCCACAGGUAACAGCAUCGACUAUGAUUUGCAGUCUGUGUACAACUUCAACGUUGAGGUAACUGAUGACGAGGGGGGGUUGGAAAUUUGUAAUAUCAUUGUGCAGAUUCAGCCGGAAAACACAGACACACCAGAGUUCAUACCGGCAUUUUGGUCAAUUGGGCCCAUACCUGAAGACACGGACCCCAGCACAUCGAUAACACAAGUGUCUGCCACCGAUACUGAUAGUUAUCCUCUGGGCGUUCAAUUGUACGAAAUCAUAACUGUUUUGGGGUCUACGGGAACCGAUGUUACUUCAGACGUCAUCUUCGACAUAGACCCGUCAGAUGGUACGAUUUACAUUGCGGCACCCCUGGAUUACGAGACUGAGACAUACUACGAGGUAGAAAUAAGGGCCACGGACGGCGGUGGGGAAACUGGAAUUGGAGUACUUACAAUUGACAUUGGUAACGAGGACGACAACUACCCUUUAUGUGCUUUCGACUCCCUUAUUCGUUCAGUUCCUGAGACUACAGCAACUAGCAGUAUAAUUGUAUCUGCAACAGAUCUUAGUUGCACCGAUGCAGAUGGAGAUACUUUGUCUUAUACGUUGACACCCUCUUCACCAUUCAGUGUGGAUUCGUCUGGAUACAUUACUUUAACAGGUUCACUUGACUACGAAACGGCAAACGCAUAUGGUUUGAAUUUACGCGUUAGUGAUGGUGGUGGACUUUACACUGAUAUCCCUAUAUACGUAGAUGUAAUCAAUGAAAAUGACAGUCCUCCAGUGUUUGCUAGCAGCACAUAUCCUGUUACGAUACCGGAAGAUACAGCGGCAGGAAUUGAUGUUAUUCUUGUCACUGCGCAGAAUUUUGACGACCCCACCACCCCUGAAGGACAAAUUACUUAUUCAAUUAUUAGCGGUGACCCGGAUGGAAAAUUCAGUAUUGAUGCAAACUCUGGGCAAAUAAAAUGUCUUGGCCAACUUGACAGAGAAACAGAAGCGAGCUACAGUCUUGUAAUAGAAGCAAGUGAUUCGUUGUCAGUUGAUACGACAACAGUCGUAGUCACAGUAAGCGACGUAAAUGAUGAAGAUCCUCAGUGUACCGAAACAUCAUUCAGUAUUGAGGUAGAAGAAACUCCAAACAAUCUAGAUUACGACUCAGGACUAGCAAGGCAGUACGAUCUUGAAAUAACUGUUGUUGAUUCAGCCGGCCAAUCACAUGUCAUAGAAGGGACUGUGCAUGUGAAACAUGUUAAUGAGGAUGCACCAGCAUUUCAACCAACGAGUCUGUAUUCUGUUGAUUUUGAAGAGAACCAAACACCGGAUACACUUGUGAUUACGGUUGUUGCCACAGAUACAGAUUCUGAUGACACUGAAGACGGUGUAGUUACGUACAGCUUUGCAGCCUCGUGUACCGUGGAUUGUGCCAUGUUUUCAAUAGACCCUGCGAGUGGAGAAAUAUCGAACUCACAGGAACUCGAUCGCGAGCUCAAUGAUGCGUACACCUUAGUGAUUGAGGCUGCUGAUGACGCGUUCACUGCAACUGCUACUGUGGAAGUCACCAUCAUCGAUGUGAACGACAACACACCUAUAUUUGCCAAUGAUAUUAUAGAGAAAGAUAUCGAAGAAGGUCAAGGCGCAAUUACACUUGUCGAAUAUAUAACAGCUGUGGAUAGUGAUGACCCUGGAACAGAUGACAAUGGCGUUGUUACAUAUUCUAUUGUUGAUGGCAACGCAGAUGGACACUUCUCAAUAAAUUCUUUCACUGGCGACCUUAAGACAGCCCAGAGCUUGGAUUACGAGGAAGUGACAUCAUAUGAAUUAAAAAUAGUGGGCACUGAUAGAAAUGGCGGUGUGGGAUCCCUGAGUUCCACUGUUACAGUUAGAGUUAACGUACUUCCAAAGAAUGAAUUCUCGCCAUCUUUUAGUGAGAACCCAGUUGAGCGAGACGUUUUAGAAGAUGUGGAUAUUGGUGAUUUUUUGUUUCUCGUAAAUGCAGAUGAUAAUGAUGAUGGUGAUGAUGGUGAUGUGACAUAUCAAAUGAACAUACAUCCGAAAUUUCGAUUAGACCCCUCAACUGGUGAACUAUUCUUGAAGGAUAAAUUAGAUCGUGAAUCAACCUCUUCAUACACGUUGACGUUAAACGCGGUUGAUGGCGGAUCACCAGCAAAGUCAGGAGCAACUACCGUCAUUAUAACAGUAACUGAUGCAAAUGAUAACACUCCUGUGUGUAGUCCAUCACAUAUCUCUGUGACAUUCCCAGAAGACACGGCAUCGAUUAUAGCAUCUCUUUCAUGUACCGAUGACGAUGAUGGUCCAGACAACAAUAGACUUACUUAUACAAUAGUUAGUGAAGAUGGUGUCGUAGGAUCAGGCACAAUAUUUAGUUUGAGUGGAGACGACGUCGUUUUAGCGACUGGACUUGACUACGAAACAGCAACAGAACAUACUUUGAAAAUUCGCGUUGAAGACAAUGGCCUUUCUCCGCUCAGUGCAACAGUUUCGAUUACCGUAGAAGUAACAGGGGUUAAUGAGUAUGACCCUGUGAUUGCCGCCCUUACACCAAUAACAAUGCUAGAAAAUGCGCCAGUUGAUUUAUCAGUUAUUAAGGAUAUAGACGCAACAGACGCAGAUUUGGGAGAAUAUGUGACUUAUGAAAUAAUUCCUGAUGAUCCACGAUUUUAUUGUGAUCCCCUGACAGGUGAAAUUUCUCUUCUUAGUGAAAUCGAUGCAGAUCCUGGGCCAUUGACCAUCUCACUUACUGUCAGGGCUACUGAUGAUGGACUAGUUCAUGCACUGAGGUACUCUGAGGCAACAUUAACAAUUAAUGUGGAUGACGUAAAUGACAAUAAUCCUGUAUUCCUUGACCAUUCAUAUUAUUUUAUAUGCUCAGAGAAUUCUGGAAUUGGUGAUUCUAUUGGCACCGUUUCAGCUACUGAUGUUGAUUCAGGGGUAAAUGGAGAUAUAAAAUACACAAUUAGUCCGAAUGAUGGUGUAUUCACAGUAGGCUUAACUUCAGGAGUUAUAAAUGUGGGUGCUGCAUUGGAUCUCGAAACGACUUCCAGUUAUACGUAUACAGUUAUAGCUACUGACCAAGGCACAGGUUCCCUGACAGGAUCAUCUUCUGUUACCAUAGAAAUAACUGGGUAUAAUGAUGAAUCUCCUGUACUUAGUGCUGCAGGGCCUGUAGACAUUAGAGAAGAUGCAGGAUGGGGUGACUCAGUGAUCACUGUAGCAGCCACCGAUGGUGAUGCGGGUGUCGAUGGUGAUGUUAGGUUAUAUCAUAACCGGUGGCAGUGAUGGCAAAUUUAAUAUUGAUUAUAACACUGGAUUAAUAUCUGUAGCUGGCAUAUUGGACUACGAAACAACCACAGCGUACACACUUACUGUCGAAGCAACAGACCAUGGUAUUGAUCCAGGUGCACUGACAGAUGAUAUUACUGUGGUGAUAAAUGUACUGCCUAUUAAUGAUAAUAAACCUACAUGUAAUCCAGUAUUAUAUGCUGUACCAGUUCAGGACAGUGCUGUGGCUAAUGACCCCGUGUUAACCCCGGUAUGCGAAGACCUUGAUUUACCAGGAGAUGUAUUAACCUACAGUAUGGCGACAUCAACAUAUUUCGAUAUCGAUACUUCUACUGGAGAAAUAACUGUCAAAUCUGAUCUAGCCGUUGCCCCCAGCCCUGUGUACAGUCUCUUUGUAGAAGUAAUUGAUGAUGGCACAGAUCCGGGAGCAUUAUCUUCAACAUUUACAGUUGUUAUAGAACUUCAAGGGGAUAACAAAAUGGCUCCUGAUUUCGAUAGUAAUGUAUAUAUUUUGACUGCGAUGGAAGAUCAAGCUCCAGGCACUGUAAUAACCACAAACACGGUAUAUGCAGAGGAUACAGAUGUGGGAUCUGCUGGUCGUGUCACAUACACUAUUAUUGAUGGAAAUGACAGUGGAACUUUUCGUAUUAAUGGAACUACUGGAGAACUGUUUAUAGAGAAAUCACUAGAUCGAGAAAGGCAAGAAAUUUAUUAUCUGAAUGUCAGUGCUGAAGACGACGGAUCCCCGUCAUAUAUAACAUAUGUUGGUGUUGAAGUCACUGUACUAGAUGUAAAUGACGAAGCACCCAUUUGCGAUCCUCUGCUGUACACGGCAAGCAUUGUAGAAGAAGACCCAACUAUACUAACAAUUGCCACUGUGAUUUGCAAUGAUAGUGAUAAAGCACCAACUGAUAACAGCGAUUUUGAGUUCGAGAUUGGAGCUGGCAAUGAUGGUACUGCAUUUAGUAUAACACCGGAUACUGGUGAAGUCAAGAAUGUUGGUGCUUUGGAUCUUGAGACCCAGGAAUUUUAUCAACUAAUUAUUCAUGCUGUUGAUAAAGGUACUCCAUCCUUAACAGGUACAGCCACUGUGAAUGUACAGGUGACUGGUGUCAAUGACAACGAGCCGUAUUUUAGUCCGGUCACACAGGGAACCAUAGUAAAUGAAGCAAAUCCACUCCAGGUAUCAUUCUAUCAGGUCGUUGCAUAUGACGAUGACCAGCACCAGGACGGCGCUGUCAUGUUCAACAUUACUGAAGGAAACGAUAACAACAUUUUUGGAAUAAAUUCAGCAACUGGAGAAUUGCACCUCGUUAAUCCCCUCGACCGAGAAACGCUUGACACACACACGUUGACCAUUGAAGCCAUUGACCUUGCUACUGACCCAGCCCUCCGAUUAACUGGAACAGGUACUGUUAUUGUCACUGUGACGGAUUCAAACGACGAAGCUCCAUUGUGUGACCCAAUUGAAGCAUAUGUAUCCUUCACAGAAAAUGCGGUGCCAAAUGAUAUAAUUACUACUCUCAACUGCACUGAUGCUGAUCUAGAGCCCCCAAAUAACGACUUUACACUAUCCAUACUAUCUGGAAAUGAUGACAAUAAAUUUUAUCUUUUCCAAAAUCAGAUUAAGGUCACUGACACACUCGAUUAUGAAGAGCAACAACAAUAUGUCCUCGAAAUUAAACUAAUUGAUAAGGGCACCCCAACGCAAACUGGGUAUACAACAUUAACUAUUAAUAUUAUUCCUGUUAAUGAGUUCGCACCCGUUUAUGAGGAAGACACAUACAUUUUCGAUAUAUACGAAGAUGUAUCCCUACGGACCACAGUUGGCUCGGUGAAAGCUACUGAUGAAGAUUACAACGAGGACUACCACGGAAUACCGCGAUAUUACAUAAAGAACGGAAACGAUGAGAACAAAUUUGCCAUUGAUCCCGAAACUGGUGAAAUUUUCACAAUUGGUCUACUGAAUAGAGAAGUUACGGCAACAUACGACCUACUUAUAAUGGCGCAAGACAGCACUGCUCUACGGAAUGACCAACUGGAUGUGAACCAGACAGUAACUAUCAAUGUCAUUGAUGUAAACGACAACAAACCAGAGUUUCGUCCGAAUGCUUAUUUUCAAGUUAUCAUGGAGACCCUACCUCCAGGAUCCACUAUUUUAAUGGUGACAGCAACAGAUGCAGAUGAAGGAACAAAUGCCGAGUUCACGUUUGAGAUUGAAAGUGGUAACGUUGAUAACACCUUCUAUUUUGAUGGCGACUACUUAGUAGUUAAUAAGAAGGUUGAUUUAAAUGUAGCUGUUUUUUAUCGAUUGACUGUAAAUGUUAUCGAUCAUGGCACUUAUCCUGGACCUCUUCAAAACUAUGGCGUAAUAACACUUUUGGUAGAUUCCACCAAUGAGUAUAAUCCAACAUUUGAUCAAGAAGAUGACAUUUUAUUAGUAUCAGAAGGAACUAAGAUUGGUGCUCACAUAUACACUGCGAUCGCUGAUGACUUUGAUGUUGGUUGUCAUGGAACACUUAGAUACAUUGUGGAAGAUGUUGUUCCUGCAAGUGGUGUAAAUCAUUUCUAUAUAGAUGAACUGUAUGGAGAGAUGCUUCUAUCAUCUUAUCUAGACAGGGAAGAACAGUCCACCUAUGAUGUGACGAUUACUGCAAUAGACGACAGUUGUAACGACACUACUGACAUAAGAACAGACAGUCUCGUAGUGCAUGUUGUUGUUACUGAUGAGAAUGACAACUCCCCUGAGUUUACCGAAAGUGGGUAUGUGUUCUACGUCACAGAAAAUAUUCCACUUGAAACACUGAUUGAUAGAGUACGUGCAACUGACGUAGACGAAGGCGUAAAUGCACAAAUAGAAUAUACUAUGGAUUCCCUAUCGUACACUGACAAGUUCACAGUGGAUCUUGAUGGGGGUGGUGUUACAACAUCCGGGGAACUAGACUUUGAGGAGCAACGCGCAUAUAGCUUUCUAGUUGUGGCAAGAGAUAAGGGCACGGAACCCAGAUCAACCAUUGUUACUGUAAUUGUAAAUUUACUAGACGAGAAUGAUAACGAGCCAAUACUCUACCCAGAUGUCAUGCACGUCGCAAUAGAUGAAAAUGUCGAAGAAGGAACACUUGUGACUCUUAUUGACGCUUAUGAUCUGGACAGCACAACAAAUGGAGAAUUCAUAUAUGAAAUUAUUGAUGGGGAUAUUAAUGACGCAUUUGUGUUAGAUCCACUUAAAGGGGAACUAUAUACAUCAAAUAAUAUCUUGGACAGGGAGUACAUUGACGUAUACACACUAAUAAUCAAAACAACUGACAUGGGAACGCCACCUAUGUUCUACACUGGUACGGUCACGGUCACAGUGCUUGAUCUGAAUGACAACGACCCAGUUGCAAACCCCGUGUUCUAUGAAGAAACAGUUUCGGAAGACGUCUCUAUUGGAACACAGCUAUUGGACAUAGAAGCUACAGAUUCCGAUAUACUUGAAAAUGGAAAUCUCACAUACAGCUUCCUAACCGGAAACACAGCAUCACGGUUUUCAAUUUACGAGACUACCGGUGUCAUUAGAGUAGCAAAAAGUUUGAACAGAGAAUCAGUUGACGAGUAUACGUUGUAUAUACUCAUUGAAGAUCAGGGAGAUCCUGUUCGUUCUGCGACGGCGGUGGCAAGUAUUUAUGUAGAAGACGUGAACGACUCGCCUCCUAGAUUCACCCCCAGGAACAGGGCAUUCUCGGUGUUGGAAAAUUCCCCAGCCGGGGUCGUGUUGGGUAAUAUGUACGCGGAAGACCAAGACCUUGGAACCAACGCAGAGUUCGAGUUUGCCCUCAUAGCGGGUAGUGGCUUUGGAAAAUUCAGUGUUAAUUCUAUAAAUGGGGCAGUGACUUUAUUAGUUUCAAAUUUAGAUCGUGAAGCUCGGUCAUCUUAUCAACUAAUUGUUAGAGCGCAAGACAAUGGUUCGCCACCGCUAUUUACCGACUCUACGGUGACAAUUGCCGUAACUGAUAUAAAUGAUCAUACACCUACAUUUGAUAGAGCUUUCUACGAUGCUGAAGUAAUAGAAAACGCCGUACCUGGAACAUCCGUUCUGAUAGUCCAUGCAGUCGAUAAGGACACUGGAAACAACGCAGCUCUAACUUACUCCAUUGACUCGACCAAUGUCGAAGCAAACACAUACUUCCAAAUAGACUCCGACACCGGUAUAAUAAGAGUGCGAGACGGUAUCGACUACGAAACUUACAAAGAGAUUAUCUUCGACGUCAACGUCGAAGAUGGCGGUGAUGUUCCCCUCGCCGAUGUUACACGAGUCACAAUCUCCGUCGUGGACGAGAAUGACAAUGAACCAAUAAUAUCACCAUGUUUUAUAAAUAACGAAAUAUCGUACCUUCAUGCAACUUCUAAAGGCAUCCUAGCAACAUACGCCGCAUCGGAUGCUGAUGCCAGUCAACAAGUAACAUUUGAACUGUCACCAUCAUCUUAUGUGUUCCAGAUUGGAUCCAAUACAGGGACAAUAACAGCGAUACCCGGCGUUGAACCUGCUGAUGACGCCAAAUAUGUUCUGCAGUUAUUAGCACGAGACGAUGGCUAUCCCCAACAGACUUCUGACCCUUGUUUAGCACGUAUCGACACGUUCAACCCGUAUAUUUAUAUGUUGGACUUGCAUAUGAGCAGCACCACACAAUCCGAAUUUGAAGGCAAGAAGGUGCAAUUACUUUCUUCACUGAAUUCACUGCUGCGAGGACGCGUAUCGUCGGCUCGAGUUGGAAUAUCCCAUUUAUCAGGAGGAGGGGCAAGUACGGCAUCUCGGAGACUUCUUGCUGCCGAUGACCUCGUCAUACACGUAUAUGCCGUAGAAAACUCAGAAGCAGACAAUGUAUAUGGUAUUGAGAACGAGAAAGUUUUCUUGACCAAUGAAUAUUUACAUUCAAUCUUCGCCGCUGAUAUUUUUGAUAAUCCUGUAGGAACGCUUAAAGAAAAUGAUAUAUUUAAAGUGCAAAAAUACCCAGGCGAAGACUGGUACCGUACUCCUGAAGGCAUAGCUGGACUGACAAUGGGAAUAUUGGGUCUCAUCGCCUUAUUCACAUUACCAUGUCUUUGUUACUGCUGUUGUAAGGCAGGUUUAUGCGAUGGCUGUUGUACUGGGCUUGGGGACAGAUGUCGUUCUUGUAGAGAACGGCGACCAAAAAAACCAAAGGCUUACAGUGAAAAGAAACCCGCGGCUAAGAAAGGCGCAUGGGACAAAAAAUCAGACAAAUCUGGGGACGGAAAUGGUAAUGAUAAAUCAAAAGACAAGAAAGGAACUCAACCCAACGUACUUGGAACAUCAGCCAGCAAAACCGGUCAAGGAGGUACAAGACCAAGUGGAGGUGGCACAAAACCAGGUUCGGAUGGCCCGAAACCGGGGGCAGGUGGUACCAAGCCAGGGGGAGGUGGUGCGACCAAACCGAGUCCAGCAGCUGCCGUUGGAGGAGGAAAUCCCAAUGCUAAUCCAAACAUCGGCGUUCUUGGGUAUCCUGGCUUGAGUGUUGGACCAAACAAAUUCGUCAAGCUGCGGAACAGGCCGCUGUGAAUUCCUGGAGAUCCCACUGCUAAGGGCAUAGCGCAGAGAACUGGCACUGCUGCUCCACAGGCUCCAAGUGGCGGUACAGCAGCGCCAGCCAGCUCUGGUAGAUACGGAGGGGGCGGUGGAGCUGGUCCGCCAGGAGGUACCGGACGUUAUGGCGGCGGAGGUACCGGGGCACCUAGUGCUGGUGGCGGUGGUGGUGGUGUUGGUGGUGGUGGAUCAGGUCGAUAUGAUGGAAAAGCGGUUGAUCCUGGUAAAUAAUAGUAAGCUUUCUUCUUUACGACACGCUGGCAACACUUAUCAUACACUUAUUUUAAAUUUAAUGAUGUUCUAUAAACGGGUAGCCAAUACGCGUAUCGCAAUAUUAAACACAGAAGCAUUUUUCAAACACAAUGAUGCUGUUCUUAUUUCUUCGAAAUAUAUCACCUGCGCAUGCGCAUCUUCUAAAGCACCGCACUCUUGGCAUGUUUCAAGACCACAACAUUCACCUCUACAAAAAGCGACACAAUUUUAGUGUUUAGUUCAGUUCUAUCUUAUGUAUAUGUUUCUUUAGCGUUGCUUCAAAAAUAAACGCACUCGCUUACUCGGUACUUUGACGCCAGAACAUCCCAAUCCCCGGCACAGGUGCACAGCCAUGAGUUAAUUCCAUACAUCAUUAUUGUUAUUGUCUUCCUUGUUGUUAUUUUAGCCACAGGUAAAACGUAUGAGUACAACAAGACCACCGGGGAAAGAAGAUGGAUUGAUAAAUAACCAUGAUAUAACAUUAAUUAUUAGCGACCAGAAGUCACCUUGCUAGGUGGAAUAUAUUUACAUCACUCAAAUUUUUUAUCUGCACUUUGACCUUUCAACUUAAUAUUUAAAUAGCUUUAAUCUCACGAUUUCAAAGAGAACUGUAAAUAAAAUCACAAACAAGUUAUUUAUGUAUGUA
Molecule: non-coding RNA, 11070 nt
Organism: Saccoglossus kowalevskii
Lineage: Eukaryota; Metazoa; Hemichordata; Enteropneusta; Harrimaniidae
Source: RefSeq, a predicted model, not a curated record